RNA transcript from Salvelinus fontinalis (brook trout), 6733 nucleotides. RefSeq lists it as uncharacterized. The transcript has 6 exons. The record is from RefSeq and is a predicted model, not a curated record. Lineage: Eukaryota; Metazoa; Chordata; Actinopteri; Salmoniformes; Salmonidae.
AGAGAAAGUGGGAGUGAAACAAGCUAGAGAGGAGCAAGGGAAAGCUUCAGAGAAAGAUGCAUCCUCCUCGUGCUAUGUGAUCAUUUCUGCUGUUAGGAUAGUAAGAUGGGUCAGACGGCUGAAAGGAAAGAGAUGCAGCCAGGGGUGUGGCUGCAGUCUCUCUCAGGAAAACUCAGUCUUGCCUUGAGCUGCAACAUCUCUGACAUAACAGUUGUGCCAGUAUGCCAGUCAUGAACAGGCCAGGGUUUUGGACAGGCUCAGGGUUGAGCAGACUCUUUUCAUCUGGGGAACUAUGGAACUAUGACGAGAAUUCUAAGGAACAGCGCUUGUCCAAGCAAGACCUACGUACAGCUAAGGAGACAAGCUCCUCUCAUAGUCACACUCUCAAAGGCUUACCUCGGUCUCAAAGUGUCAGAGUUGAGCUCUGUGCAGGAAAAUCGCCUCGGUGUGAGACAGUGGAGCGAGGUGUGCAAAUCCCGGAAGAUAUUCUAACAGGAUGUCUGACUGCUUGCCCUGAGGAAAAGAGAUCGUCUGAAAAGAAUGGCAAUAAAGAAACACUUCCCCCUUUACUCAAUGUGGCCUCGUCUCUUGAAAAUGUUUCCAUCUGUCCAUCAUUCUCAAACACUCCGAAAGCAAAAACAGUCACUGUAAGUUCCAUGACGGGAUCUUCUUUCCUAUCCAAUAGCAAGGAGCUCUUUGAAGAUUGCCAGAAGAGGUAUGAGGGACAGAGGAAUGCACAGGAUCAGGAAUUACCAAUGACGUCCUGUGCUAAUCUCGAUGCUGUGGACACAGACUUCGCUAUAGAGGCGAUGUGCGACCCAGUAAUUCUCAAUGUACAGAACGACCAAAGAUCACAAGGUCUAUUGCCGUUAAGCAAUAAUGGCGAGACCAAUCACCAGUUAACCAGUACAGGGACUGAGGAGUGUUUGGUAUCCCACCCAGGCAGCACCAUAAUAGAACCUAAAGAAGCUGAACAAACAACGAAGACCAACAUAUUUGUAUCCAACAGAGGAAGUUUGUUCAGUGCAACCUUUGUCCACAACACAGGCAAUAGUGACACAAAGAUGAGUCGUGAAAGCCCCUCGUGUGAUGACAGUGUCUCUGAAACAGGGGAUGAAUUAGAUGCAUUUUCUUCCAGCAGUGACUGUCUGACCUACAUUGAGGACGAGGAGAAGGCUGUUAUAGAUGGAACGAGAGGUGGAGGAAACACACGCUUUCCACACUUCACCAGAAGGUCAAAAAAUGGAUCACAAACUCAGCCUUUAUGUCUAAACCCAGCAAGGAUAUACCACUCUUCUUUGAGUAAGCCAUUCGCUCAGUCGUGCAUUCCACUGGUUUUACAGAUGUCCAAACCAGUUACUAGAGGGUUGUCAAAAACAACUGUAUCUGAGGAGGGUCUGUCAGAAAUCCUUUCCCCGGUGGAUGAGGUUCUGUCCUAUGGAAGCUACGAGCUCCCUCCACCUGUAGCGCACUGUGCAGGAUAUGGGAGUGUUAGCUCCACUCUGCUACCUCCCCAACCUGCUUUUGAGGUGAUCACAAGUGAAGAGGAAUUCCCGCCUUCUUCUGAAGGAAAUUAUCUGUAUCUCAAAGAAGAUCCAUCCAUUAACAGUGAGCUUGUUCUUCCUCUCCCUGAUGAUAAGACACCACAUGUAAACAACACAAAAAACUCUGGUGAAACUAACAAAGACCUUGCUGAAGGUCAGAAUGUUUUUGACAGAACUGAGAACUCCAGCUUGGUUCCAGCGGACGAGGAUGUCACAGACUUGCUCUUCUCCUUUGACAUUGGCGACAGGGUUCUUGUCUGCCUUUCCAGACCUGGUGUGCUGAAAUACAAAGGGCAGGCAGCAUUUGCUGGUGGCCUUUGGGCAGGUGUGGUGCUGGACAGGCCAGAAGGAAACCACAACGGGACCUUUAGAGGGGUGAAAUAUUUCAGAUGUGAUAGGAACUGUGGUGUUCUGGUCCGAGCGGAGGACAUCUCUCCUUUACGAGGGACACAAGACAGUGAUCUGGAUACUGAGCCUGAGGAGGAUCCCUUCUCAGAUGAAGAACCACCAAACUGCUUGAAACCACAAGAGGAUGGAUUGAAAGAAGAUGAAGCCUCAGGUGGACCAUUGGAAGGCAACAUAGACAGGGAACAAAAUAAACCAAUCAAUGAUCCUUUAACUACUAAAAUGACCUAUAAAGAGGGACAAUUACAAGAGAAAUGGUGCCAAAACCCUCAACUUGAUUGUUGUAACGAGACACCUGAGGCAUCAAGUUCAUCCAUCCCUAUGCCUGUAUCAUCAUUAUUUCAAAUUGGUUUUGAUUCAUGCCCCCAAACAGCAGGACACAACAUGAGCUCUAGUUUUGACAUAAACUCUUGGGUGGAAAGUUUGACCGAGGAGCUGAUCCAAGACCUUAUGAUGGAUGCUCUAGAGCUAAGGAUGAGAAACAGAGAGAAAGGCUUGCUCAAAGAGGACAACAUACAAAUUGAUAUGAAGAAGAUCGUUACAGAACUACCCACCACCAACGGACCAAGCAGCGUGGUAAGGAGGAGUAGAGGGUUCAGGACUCCUGGACUUGGGAGGAGAUAUUGGACGGUAAGGGACCCUGGAGACAGGCUGGGGAAUAUCGCCACCCGAAAGCAGAACUGCUGGAGGCGGCGGAAGCGCAGAGGCGGCGAUAUGAGGUAAGGCAUCGCAGCAGGCACGAGAGGCAGCCCCUAAUUUUUUUGGGGGGGGGGCACACGGGGAGAUUGGUGGAGUCAGGCGAUAGACCUGAGCCAACUCCCCGUGCUUACCGGAAGCAGCGUAGUACUGGUCAGGCACCGUGUUAUGCGAUGAAGCGCACGGUGUCGCCAGUGCGUGCUCAUAGCCCGGAGCGCUAUAGGGCAGCCCCCCGCAAGUGCCAUGCGAGAGUAGGCAUCCAGCCAGGGCGGAUUGUGCCAGCCCAGCUUGUUUUGUCUCCGGUGUGCCGUUUCGGCCCAGGGUAUCCUGCGCCGGCUCUGCGUACUGUGUCUCCGGGGCGCUGGGAGGGUGCUGUUCGUCCUAUGCCUGCGCUCCGCCCGUGCUGGGCGAAAGUGGGCAUUGAGCAUAAUGGAGAGGUGCGAGUGGUAAGCACCAGAUCUCCAGUGCUCCCCCACAGCCCGGUUCGACCUGUGCCUGCACUCUGGAGGGGCCGGGCUAAAGUGGGCAUUCAGCCUGGAGGAGUGGUGCCAAGGCUGCGCACCAGAGCUCCAGUGCUCCCCCACAGCCCGGUUUAUCCGGUGCCUCCUCUACGCACCAGGCUUCCUGUAGGUCUCCCCAGCCUGGUGGGCCCUGUGGCAGCCCCACGCACCAGGCUGUCUCUGCGUCUUCUCCUUCCAGAGUCUCCCUCCAGUCCGGACCCUCCAGAGUCUCCCUCCUGUCUGGAGCUGUCAAAGUCUCCCUCCUGUCCGGAGCUGUCAGAGUCUCCCUCCUGUCCGGAGCUUCCAGAGUCUCCCUCGUGUCCGGAGCUUCCAGAGUCUCCCUCGUGUCCGGAGCUGCCAGAGUCUCCCUCGUGUCCGGAGCUGCCAGAGUCUCCCUCGUGUCCAGAGCUGCCAGAGUCUCCCUCGUGUCCAGAGCUGCCAGAGUCUCCCUCCUGUCCGGAGCUGCCAGAGUCUCCCUCCUGUCCGGAGCUGCCAGAGUCGCCCUCCUAUUCGGGGCCCGCUGCAAGGGUCCUCAGUCCGGGGUCGGCAGCGAGGGUCGCCGCUCCAGAGGCGCCACCUAAGUGGGCCAAGACUAAGGUGGAGUGGGGUCAACGUCCCGCGCCAGAGCCGCCACCGCGGAUAGAUGCCCAUCCAGACCCUCCCCAAUGGGUUUAGGUUUUGCGGCCGGAGUCCGCACCUUUAGGGGGGGGGGGGCUACUGUCACAACCUGACCUUAGUUCCUUUUUUAUGUCUCUAUUUUGGUUUGGUCAGGGCGUUAGUUGGGGUGGGCAUUUAUGUUUUUUCUCUAUGUUUUCUUUUCUAUGUGUUUGGCCUGGUAUGGUUCCUAAUCAGAGGCAGCUGUCUAUCGUUGUCUCUGAUUGAGAACCAUACUUAGGUAGCCUUUUCCCUGGAAUACUGAAAUCGGGGAGAAGAUAGCCAGAGCGAAUUUACCAGCUACAGUUGAAGUCGGAAGUUUACAUGCACCUUAGCCAAAUACAUUUAAACUCAGUUUUUCACAAUUCCUGACAUUUAAUCCUAGUAAAAAUUUCCUGUCUUAGGUUAAUUAGGAUCACCACUUUAUUCUAAGAAUGUGGAACAUUAUUUCUUUCAUCACAUUCCCAGUGGGUCAGAAGUUUACAUACACUCAAUUAGUAUUUUCUAGCAAUGCCUUUCAAUUGUUUAACUUGGGUCUAACAUUUGGGUCUAACAUUUCGGGUAGCCUUCCACAUUCCUCCAUUCCUCCUGACAGAGCUGGUAUAACUGAGUCAGAUUUGUAGGCAUCCUUGCUCGCACACACUUUUUCACUUUUGCCCACAAGUUUUCUAUAGGAUUGAGGUCAGGGCUUUGUGAUAGCCACUCCAAUACCUUGAAUGUGUUGUCCUUAAGCCAUUUUGCCACAACUUUGGAAGUCUGCUUGAGGUCAUUGUCCAUUUGGAAGACCCAUUUGCGACCAAGCUUUAACUUCCUGACUGAUGUCUUGAGAUGUUGCUUCAAUAUAUCCACAUAAUUUUCCUUUGUCAUGAUUCCAUCCAUUUUAUGAAGUGUACCAGUCCCUCCUGCAGCAAAGCACCCUGACAACAUGUUGCUGCUACCCCCGUGCUUAAUGGUUGGGAUGGUGUUCUUCGGCUUGCAAGCGUCCGACCAGCAUCAGACCAGAGGACAUUUCUCCAAAAAGUACAAUCUUUGUCCCCAUGUGCAGUUGCAAACCGUAGUCUGGCUUUUUUAUGGCGGUUUUGGAGCAGUGGCUUCUUCCUUGCUGAGCGGCCUUUCAGGUUAUGUCGAUUUCGGACUCGUUUUACUGUGGAUAUAGAUACUUUUGUACCUGUUUCCUCCAGCAUCUACACAAGGUCCUUUGCUGUUACUCUUGGAUUCAUUUGCACUUUUUCGCACCAUAGGAGACAGAACGUGUCUCCUUCCUGAGCGGUAUGACAGCUGCGUGGUCCCAUGGUGUUUAUACUUGCAUAGUAUUGUUUGUACAGAUGAACGUGGUACCUUCAGGCAUUUGGAAAUUGCUCCCAAGGAUGAACCAGACUUGUGGAGGUCAACAAAAAAAAAACUGAGGUCUUGGCUGAUUUAUUUGGAUUUUCAUAUGAUGUCAAGCAAAGAGGCACUGAUUUUGAAGGUAGGCCUUGAAAUACAUCCACAGGUACACCUCUAAUUGACUAAAAUAGGCACAGUCAACUUAGUGUAUGUAAACUUCUGACACACUGGAAUUCUGAUACAGUGAAAUAAUCUGUCUGUAAACAAUUGUUGGAAAAAUUACUUGUGUCUUGCACAAAGUAGAUGUCCUAACCGACUUGCCAAAACUAUAGUUUGUUUAAAAGAAAUUUGUGGAGUGGUUGAAAAAUUAGUUUUAAUGAUGCCAACAUAAAUCAAAAUGAUAAGAAGUUGAAGCUCAGUAUUGAGAAGUCAGAAGAAAAACAGCGCUUGACCAGUAUUGAUUAGUCAGCUCUGGAAGGUCAUGGAUCUUUACACAUGAUAAUAGCCCCUAACAUCUUGUCUAUUUUUCUCAUAUCACAAUAUGGGGUCAGAGUGUGCCCAAUCUAUAGCCGAUUACCAGCAUGCCAUCUAAGCGCUCUUGGCUUUGAAAUCAAGGAGCGACUACGAACACACACACUGGACAGUGUGUGUCCACUGGAGCCCUGAUUUCGAGGCCUAUUUUCAUCAGUUGCUGUCCGACGCCAUGAACAAGAGAGCACAAUAUGUGCUAAACAGCUUGGGCAUCCAAUCAGACGUAAUUACAAUUGGUCAAAUCAAAUCAAAUGUUAUUGCUCACAUACACAUGGUUAGCAGAUGUUAAUGCGAGUGUAGAGAAAUGCUUGUGCUUCUAGUUCUGACCGGGCAGUAAUAUCUAACAAGUAAUCUAACAAUUUCCCAACAACUACCUAAUUCACACAAAUCUAAAGGGGUGAAUGUGUUACAUCUGCUCCUGCCAAGCCCUCUACUGCUCAUCCUGUGUCUCCUUGACCUUCUGCCACUCCCCCAGUUCCCUCUCCCUCUCUUUCUGUGUGUGUGAUUGUUUGGGUGGAGACAGGGGUGCUGGAGUCAGAGCAGAUCCGCACCAGCUGCAACCUGUUCCAUAAUCAAGACCUCUACAAAUACUCAGUCCUGCCACUUCCACACUGCCAGAUCGUAAUCUCUGCUCAUUCUGCCCGCUCUGACUCUGGUCCCUGUCUCCUGUCCCACAUCUCGUCAUCCUGCUACUCUGUCCUGGAUUCCCCACUCUACUGCUCCCUUGGAUUCCCCUCCGGACCUGCUUACUCUGUCCCAACCCCUCUCCCUCUAGCCUUAGCCUCCACACUUGGAUUCCUGCAACGCCCGAGCUUCGCCUGGCCUGCACUCCCAUCUCCCCCCUGUUUCAAUAAAUACCUUAGUUACUUCAUCCCAUUCUCCUCAUCUGAGUCUGCUCUUGGGUUUCCCUGUUCCACUCCGCGUAACAGAAUGAGAAUAUGUACAUAUAAAUAUAUGGAUGAGGGAUGGCCGAGGGGCAUAGGCAAGGUGCAAUAGAUGGCAUAAAAUACAGUAUAUACAUAUGAUAUGAGUAAUGUAAGAUAUGUAAAGAUUAUUAAAGUGGCCUUAUUUAAAGUG